UAAAAACAGCAGGGGUGGCUGAACUCAGCCUGAGAUCAUACCCUUUGAACCUGAUUCGGAUAAUACCGGCGUAGGGAGCAGACGAUGACUUAAG
This 94-nucleotide non-coding RNA is filed under the name Desulfobacteraceae bacterium. Its description in RNAcentral is "TPP sequence". It matches the Rfam family "TPP riboswitch aptamer (THI element)". From Rfam's summary of the family: Vitamin B(1) in its active form thiamin pyrophosphate (TPP) is an essential coenzyme that is synthesised by coupling of pyrimidine and thiazole moieties in bacteria. The previously detected thiamin-regulatory element, thi box was extended, resulting in a new, highly conserved RNA secondary structure, the THI element, which is widely distributed in eubacteria and also occurs in some archaea. Analysis of operon structures identified a large number of new candidate thiamin-regulated genes, mostly transporters, in various prokaryotic organisms. Lineage: Bacteria; Pseudomonadati; Thermodesulfobacteriota; Desulfobacteria; Desulfobacterales; Desulfobacteraceae. The record is from RNAcentral.